CGUUCGCGUACACAGGGGCAACCCUCGCGCGAUGUCAGCAAUACCUAGGUCACCCUUGAAUAAACUACCCUUGUUGCUUUGGCGGGCCGCCCCUCGGGGCCAGCGGCUUCGGCUGCUGCGCGCCCGCCAGAGGACCACAACUCUUGUUUUUAGUGAUGUCUGAGUACUAUAUAAUAGUUAAAACUUUCAACAACGGAUCUCUUGGUUCUGGCAUCGAUGAAGAACGCAGCGAAAUGCGAUAAGUAAUGUGAAUUGCAGAAUUCAGUGAAUCAUCGAAUCUUUGAACGCACAUUGCGCCCUUUGGUAUUCCGAAGGGCAUGCCUGUUCGAGCGUCAUUAUAACCACUCAAGCCUUCGCUUGGUAUUGGGGUUCGCGGCUGCGCGGCCCCUAAAAUCAGUGGCGGUGCCUGUCGGCUCUACGCGUAGUAAUACUCCUCGCGUCUGGGUUCCGGUAGGUUGCUUGCCAGCAACCCCUAAAUUUUUUACAGGUUGACCUCGGAUCAGGUAGGGAUACCCGCUGAACUUAAGCAUAUCAAUAAGCGGAG
This 544-nucleotide ribosomal RNA is filed under the name Cadophora fastigiata. Its description in RNAcentral is "eukaryotic LSU rRNA". The stretch from base 182 to 335 matches the Rfam family "5.8S ribosomal RNA". Lineage: Eukaryota; Fungi; Ascomycota; Leotiomycetes; Helotiales; Ploettnerulaceae. The record is from RNAcentral.